GAUGAACGCUGGCGGCGUGCCUAAUACAUGCGAGUCGAGCGAACGGACGAGAAGCUUGCUUCUCUGAUGUUAGCGGCGGACGGGUGAGUAACACGUGGAUAACCUACCUAUAAGACUGGGAUAACUUCGGGAAACCGGAGCUAAUACCGGAUAAUAUUUUGUACCGCAUGGUUCAAAAGUUAAAGACGGUCUUGCUGUCUCUUAUAGAUGGAUCCGCGCUGCAUUAGCUAGUUGGUAAGGUAACGGCCUACCAAGGCAACGAUGCAUAGCUGACCUGAGAGGGUGAUCGGCCACACUGGAACUGAGACACGGUCCAGACUCCUACGGGAGGCAGCAGUAGGGAAUCUUCCACAAUGGGCGAAAGCCUGACGCAGCAACGCCGCGUGAGUGAUGAAGGUCUUCGGAUCGUAAAGCUCUGUUAUUAGGGAAGAACAUAUGUGUAAGUAACUGUGCACAUCUUGACGGUACCUAAUCAGAAAGCCCCGGCUAACUACGUG
This 497-nucleotide ribosomal RNA is filed under the name uncultured bacterium. RNAcentral's name for it is "partial 16S ribosomal RNA". It matches the Rfam family "Bacterial small subunit ribosomal RNA", at positions 28 to 507 of the family's 1533-position model. The record is from RNAcentral.